CCGGCGACCGGCGCACGGGUGAGUAACGCGUAUGCAACCUGCCCGUUUCAGCGGGAUAACCCGGAGAAAUCCGGCCUAAUACGCAUGUGGCCGAGGGGAGGCAUCUUCUUUCGGCCAAAGGAGGCGACUCCGGAGACGGAUGGGCAUGCGUGACAUUAGCUAGUUGGCGGGGUAACGGCCCACCAAGGCGACGAUGUCUAGGGGUUCUGAGAGGAAGGUCCCCCACACUGGUACUGAGACACGGACCAGACUCCUACGGGAGGCAGCAG
This 269-nucleotide ribosomal RNA is filed under the name uncultured bacterium. RNAcentral describes it as "partial 16S ribosomal RNA". It matches the Rfam family "Bacterial small subunit ribosomal RNA", at positions 88 to 354 of the family's 1533-position model. The record is from RNAcentral.